CCCCCGGUUACCCCACCCCAAAACGCAAAUUUGAAAAACCCCCCCUCAGGGGGCCGGGUUCUCUCCCGUUUUCUAAUUAGACGGAGAGAAG
RNAcentral lists this transfer RNA (91 nucleotides) under Cyrtodactylus trilatofasciatus. RNAcentral describes it as "tRNA-Cys". The record is from RNAcentral. Lineage: Eukaryota; Metazoa; Chordata; Lepidosauria; Squamata; Gekkonidae.